This 236-nucleotide ribosomal RNA is filed under the name uncultured bacterium. RNAcentral describes it as "partial 16S ribosomal RNA". It matches the Rfam family "Bacterial small subunit ribosomal RNA", at positions 15 to 240 of the family's 1533-position model. The record is from RNAcentral.
GAUCAUGGCUCAGGAUGAACGCUAGCGACAGGCCUAACACAUGCAAGUCGAGGGGCAGCGAAGAGGUAGCAAUACCUUUGUCGGCGACCGGCGCACGGGUGAGUAACACGUAUGCAACCCACCUGUAACAGGGGGAUAACCCGGAGAAAUCCGGACUAAUACCCCAUAAUAUGGGCGCUCCGCAUGGAGAGCCCAUUAAAGAGAGCAAUUUUGGUUACAGACGAGCAUGCGCUCCA